This 1736-nucleotide long non-coding RNA is filed under the name Solanum tuberosum (potato). RNAcentral's name for it is "long non-coding RNA (STUB_LNC005658)". Lineage: Eukaryota; Viridiplantae; Streptophyta; Magnoliopsida; Solanales; Solanaceae. The record is from RNAcentral.
UGGAAAGUGGACCAAUCCAAUGAAUGCCUUUUAUUUAACUGGCCGAUUCAAAGGUACUGUUGCAUGCUCAAUGCUCGUGCCUUUAUGAGGAGAGAGCAGCUGCAUCUGAAAGAUGCUUCAGACUUGUGGCAAUUUUGCAUGCUGAACUUAAGAGCUGAAUUAAGGGGUUUCCUUGACUCCAUUUUGGUAGGGUUAGUAGUGGAAAUUCUUGAACGAUGAUUUGGAUUGAAAAUAUAAAAGAUUGAAGCUUCUUCCUAGAUAUCUUUACCAAUAUUAGUUGCAUUGAUAUUAGUUCGCUGUACAUUGUGUAGCCAAAUUCAAGGUGAGUUAGCUGCAGACAGAUGUAUUUGCAGAAAAGGGGGAUUAGAAGUUUCUACAUGGCAUGACAAAAUGUUUGUAGAUUACAUAGUCUAUUUUCCCUCGGUUUUAGCCCAAAACAAACAAAAGGGUUCCCACAUAAGUUUAUUGAGGUCAAAUAUAGAAGGAAAGGAAAGAACAAAAGUAGAAUGCCAGAGUAUCAUUAAGUUUUAUAUCUAAAAGGGCUCAACCAAAGCUAGUUCAGGCCGGGGUCUCUAAACAUCCCAUUUUCUGCAUUUGAAUGGUCUGCAAAAGUACCCCAGAUUUCUUAGCAUGUUUUAUUUCUUAGUCCAUUCUGGAAGUCUCCAUCUUGGAUCUUCCCCCCCAUAUCAUCAAGGUACUACUGGUUAUUAUCUUUGAAUGUGCCUGGUCCAGAUAUUAUCAGCUAGCCUCAAUAUAGCACUGAUGAGCCUCAUGCAACCUGAACUAAUAAUUGGUGAAGAGAAAUUAUAAUGUUACAUGGGCCAAUAUAUUUUCUUUUUUUGGUGGGGGUGGGGUAGGGGUGUUUUCUACAUCAAUUAGAAUUGACUCUUAUAUUUUAUAGAAAUUAAUUUGUGCCAACUCCAAAGCAUUUCUGCAGGUUACAACACCGUUACUUUUCAAGCUAAUUCCUGCUGUAGUUCACCUUGGAGUUCUACUGCGAUGGUUUUCCCUUGAUAUACCAAAUGAGGUAGGGUGGCUUUUUCCUUAAAAACAGCUGAUUCUCUCUCAGUUUUAUCAGCCUGCACACUCUGCAUGGUUUUUCUCUGAAUACUCGGAUUAGCUAAGAGUUUUAAGGUAUCUUCAAAAUGACUUUUAUCCCAGAUUGGAUCUAAAGGAGAUACCAUGCGCGCAGACAGUUCUAAGCGUAUUACUGUGCUGAUACAAGGCCCUCAUGAUUCAUGAUAAUAAAUAGAAACAUGAACAGUAAAGCGAUUCUCACACUUUACCUGAUGGCAUUCUUAUGCUGGGCGACAGGUGCCCAAGUGUGCAAAGGCUGUUGAUUGAUUGGAUGAUUGAUCAUCAUGACGCUCGUUUUAUGCACCCACAUCGGAUGGUUUUCUUUGAUAUGUCGGAAACUCUUCGCCAUAUGCAGAGCAGUGUAUACAAACAUUUUUCUGGCAUUUGUUUCCGGGACGGUGUUAACGGACUACUCUGUACAACCUCGUCCAUUUGUAAUGCAAUUUUUUGUUUUCUUUAAUCGCAAGUUUGAGUUUGUGGAAUUGGUGGUUUCAAGUUGGCAAGUGUAAAUAGCUGAUAGUACAUACUGUUAAGAGUGUUUAGCGUAUAAAGUCUUACUUUACUGUAUACAGUUGAGCUAUGACCUCCAAUUGUUUCACUAAAAUCAUUGAUUUUCUGCAAUUUUUUUGUGCAUAUCCAGAUCAUCUGUUUGGCAAAAA